AACGAACGCUGGCGGCAUGCCUAACACAUGCAAGUCGAACGAAGCCUUCGGGCUUAGUGGCGCACGGGCGCGUAACGCGUGGGAAUCUGCCCUUUGGUUCGGAAUAACAGUUGGAAACGACUGCUAAUACCGGAUGAUGACGAAAGUCCAAAGAUUUAUCGCCAGAGGAUGAGCCCGCGUAGGAUUAGCUAGUUGGUGUGGUAAAGGCGCACCAAGGCGACGAUCCUUAGCUGGUCUGAGAGGAUGAUCAGCUACACUGGGACUGAGACACGGCCCAGACUCCUACGGGAGGCAGCAGUGGGGAAUAUUGGACAAUGGGCGAAAGCCUGAUCCAGCAAUGCCGCGUGAGUGAUGAAGGCCCUAGGGUUGUAAAGCUCUUUUACCCGGGAUGAUAAUGACAGUACCGGGAGAAUAAGCCCCGGCUAACUCCGUGCCAGCCGCCGCUGUAA
This 449-nucleotide ribosomal RNA is filed under the name uncultured bacterium. Its description in RNAcentral is "partial 16S ribosomal RNA". It matches the Rfam family "Bacterial small subunit ribosomal RNA", at positions 29 to 523 of the family's 1533-position model. The record is from RNAcentral.